Molecule: unclassified non-coding RNA, 281 nt
Filed under: plant metagenome
Description: partial contains small subunit ribosomal RNA, internal transcribed spacer 1, and 5.8S ribosomal RNA
Source: RNAcentral
UUUCCGUAGGUGAACCUGCGGAAGGAUCAUUGUCGAAGCCUGCCCAGCAGAACGACCCGCGAACUUGUAUAAACAACCGGGGGCAGGGGCGAUCUCGCCCCGUGCCCUCGAACGGCAGGGAGACACUCGUGCCUUCUUGUCGAACAACGAACCCCGGCGCGGUUUGCGCCAAGGAACUUCAAUUAAAGAGUGCCUCCGGUCGCCUCGGAAACGAUGCGCGUGUCGGAGGCGAAUCUUGUACAAAACCAUAACGACUCUCGGCAACGGAUAUCUCGGCUCUC